RNAcentral lists this long non-coding RNA (725 nucleotides) under Sus scrofa (pig). RNAcentral's name for it is "lncRNA (ENSSSCG00060008784.1)". Lineage: Eukaryota; Metazoa; Chordata; Mammalia; Artiodactyla; Suidae. The record is from RNAcentral.
AAAGGAGAGCCAGCAGAAAAGGGUAAUUAAUAUCCAGGACCAGUUUCAGGAUACUGUGAAGAGUCUUCAAGCCAAAAGUGAAAAGCAAUAUCUGAUGCUGGAGGAAAGAAACAAGGAGUUAACUAAGGAAUAUAGUCACCUAAAAGAGAGUAUUAAUCAGUAUGAAAAUGAGGCAAUGGAAAGAGAAGUGGUUGUGGAACAACUUCAACAAGAACUGGCUGAUUCCCUAAAAAAGCAGUCGCUGUCUGAGGCUUCAUUGGAACUCAUGUUACGUGAUUGUGCUAAAUUAGAAGAUGAGAGACAGGAUUUAAAGAAGAAAGUACAUCAAAUGACAAGUAAAUUGCAAGAAGCACAAGAACUACAUAUAGAAGCUCUGAAGUGUGCUGAGGAGACCCAGGAUCACAUGCAAAAGCUUGAAAUUCAAACUGCCAAGUUAAAAGUGAUGAACAAAAAGCAAGUUGCCAAAACUGAACAGCUUCGGAGAAACUCACUAAGUACAAGUUUGUCUGAGCAAGAAAAGGAAGAAUUACAGCAACUUAUGGAGUUAAAACAGUUUCUGGAAAGCCAGUUGGAUCGGCAAAAGAAGAAAAAUGAUGGAUUAGAAAAAGAGAUUACUGGGUAAAAUUUUAAUAUUUUAAAUCAUUUCAAUGAUUAAUUAUUAUUAAAACCUAGAAACAAGCACAUUUUAUAUAUGCAUUUUCAUAAUUAAAGAAAUUUCCCUUUUG